Molecule: ribosomal RNA, 334 nt
Filed under: uncultured Devosia sp.
Lineage: Bacteria; Pseudomonadati; Pseudomonadota; Alphaproteobacteria; Hyphomicrobiales; Devosiaceae
Description: bacterial SSU rRNA
Rfam family: Bacterial small subunit ribosomal RNA
Source: RNAcentral
AACUGUUGGAAACGACAGCUAAUACUCCAUAAGCUGGGAAACCAGGAAAGAUUUAUCGCCAAAGGAGGAGCCCGCGUCAGAUUAGGUAGUUGGUGGGGUAAAGGCCUACCAGGCCUGUGAUCUGUAGCUGGUCUGAGAGGAUGACCAGCCACACUGGGACUGAGACACGGCCCAGACUCCUACGGGAGGCAGCAGUGGGGAAUAUUGGACAAUGGGCGCAAGCCUGAUCCAGCGACGCCGCGUGAGUGAUGAAGGCCUUAGGGUUGUAAAGCUCUUUUAGUGGGGAAGAUAAUGACGGUACCCACAGAAAAAGCCCCGGCUAACUUCGUGCCAG